UCUCGCGACACUUCGGAGGAUCUUUCUGCGCCUCCGGCUCUCACCGGGAGCGCAGCCUCCGCGGGCGCACUGCUCUCCUCCGCUGGAGCGCUGAGGAGCCCGCGGUGUGGGGAUUGGGGCGCGGCCGCAGGCUCCGCCCGUCCGCCCCGCCCCGGCUUGGGAGGUAGGCUGCAGCGGCGAUGUGGCCCGGGCUCCCUCCGCGAGGGCUGAGAGCGCGAGCGGCGGUGUGGACGAGCGAGUCCAGAGCGAAAUGUCAUCGGGGGAAUCACACCAGGAGCAGCUGUCUCAGUCAGAUCCGUCCCCAUCCCCGAACUCUUGUAGUUCCUUCGAACUCAUAGACAUGGACGCCAGUAGUUCCUAUGAACCCGUUUCUCCACAUUGGUUUUAUUGUAAGGUACUAGAUUCCAAGGAGCUCUGGAUUCCUUUCAACUCUGAGGAUUCACAGCAGCUGGAAGACGCAUAUGGCUCUGGAAAAGAUUGUAAUGAGAGGAUUGUUCCCACCGAUGGGGGCAGAUAUGAUGUUCAUUUAGGGGAGCGGAUGCGGUAUGCUGUGUACUGGGACGAGCUGCCAUCGGAAGUGAGACGGUGUACGUGGUUUUACAAGGGAGACAAAGACAAUAAGUAUGUCCCCUACUCGGAGAGCUUCAGCCAAGUCUUGGAGGAUACGUACAUGCUUGCAGUAACUCUGGAUGAAUGGAAAAAAAAAAUAGAAUCUCCAAACAGAGAAAUUAUUGUAUUACACAACCCAAAGCUCAUGGUGCAUUACCAGCCAAUUGCAGGGUCUGAUGAAUGGGGUUCAACAUCCACUGAGCAAGGUCGGCCAAGAUCAGUAAAAAGAGGCGUCGAGAACAUCCCUGUUGAUAUUCACUGUGGGGAACCGUUACAAAUAGAUCACUUAGUGUUUGUAGUCCAUGGGAUUGGCCCAGCUUGCGAUCUUCGUUUUCGAAGCAUUGUUCAAUGUGUUAAUGAUUUUCGAAGUGUUUCCUUGAACCUGCUCCAAACACAUUUUAAGAAAGCCCAAGAAAAUGAGCAGAUCGGAAGGGUGGAGUUUCUUCCAGUCAACUGGCACAGUCCUUUGCAUUCUACUGGCGUGGACAUAGAUCUGCAGCGGAUAACCCUACCCAGUAUCAAUCGCCUCAGACACUUCACUAAUGAUACAAUUCUGGAUGUCUUCUUCUACAAUAGCCCCACCUACUGUCAGACUAUUGUGGACACAGUAGCUUCUGAAAUGAACCGAAUAUAUACACUUUUUCUGCAGAGGAACCCUGAUUUCAAAGGGGGUGUAUCCAUUGCUGGUCAUAGUUUAGGUUCGCUUAUAUUGUUUGAUAUCCUAACAAAUCAGAAAAAUUCUAUUGGGGAUAUUGACAGUGAAAAGGGUUCGUUGAGCUCUGCUGAGGAUCGAGGCGAUGCAUCAACAUUAGAAGAAGACUUGAAGAAGCUUCAACUCUCUGAGUUUGUCACUGUCUUUGAGAAGGAGAAAGUUGACAGAGAAGCUCUGGCUUUAUGUACAGACAGAGAUCUUCAGGAAAUGGGGAUUCCCUUAGGACCCAGAAAGAAGAUACUGAACCAUUUCAGUGCCAGGAAGAAUUCAGUGAGUAUUAAUAGACCAGCCAUGUCAGCCUCUGAGGUAAACAUCUCCAAGGAAAAUGGUGACUAUCUGGAUGUUGGCAUUGGGCAGGUGUCUGUAAAAUACCCCCGGCUCAACUACAAACCAGAGAUCUUCUUUGCCUUUGGCUCCCCCAUCGGAAUGUUUCUUACUGUCCGAGGGUUGAGAAGAAUUGAUCCUAAUUAUAAAUUUCCCACAUGCAAAGGUUUCUUCAAUAUUUACCAUCCAGUUCUAGGGAUCAGACUUAGUUCCCUUGCAGGUCAAGCACUGUAUUGCCUGAGCCAUCUCCCAGUCCACAACUGUACCUCUUUACAAAAUAAAUGUAAUUACUUUUAUCUCAGAUACAUAAUUCUUCACUCUGUCUUAUUAGGGAUGAAUAGUUAGCUGUUAUUUUCCUAUGCAGUUUGACCCUGUGGCAUAUAGGAUUGAGCCAAUGGUGGCCCCAGGAAUAGAGUUUGAGCCAAUGCUGAUCCCACACCAUAAAGGCAGGAAGCGGAUGCACUUAGGUGAGUCUGUUAAUAGACCUUGAUAAUUCUGGAUGUUCUGGUGAGUAUAAACUAAGUGGGCUGAAUUCUGUUCUUGUUUAACCUUGACAUAUCACAGAGUACUUUGUUCACUCACGUUUCAGAACUGAGAGAGGGCUUGACCAGGAUGAGUAUGGACCUGAAGAACAACUUGCUGGGGUCACUGAGGAUGGCCUGGAAGUCUUUCACCAGAGGCCCAUACCCUGCCUUACAAGCCUCAGAAACUGCAGAAGAAACUGAGGCAGAACCCGAAUCAAGUUCAGAAAAGUCCAAUGGUCAGUGACAGGACAUAGAAAUGACCCGAGGAGGGGUGCUGUGCUGUGGAGUUCUCUCCCAGGGCCUGCUUCCCUUCCCUUUAAUUAUGUAGGGUCUAUUCUGUGAGUCAUGGUUGACCUUGAGCUAUGCUAACCUUUCCUGCAUUUUAAUUGAUGAAAGUUAGGAUGAAACUUUUAUGUGAGGAGGAAAAUGUCAAGAGAAGCUAUUAACUACCCUCGAAACAUUUCCCACUUUGGAUUUUUAAAUAAUGUUAAAAGCCUACUCUGUUAGGCAUAGUGACACAACCCUUUAAUCCCACUGCUUAGGAGGCAGAGACAGAGGCAGGUGAUCUUUGUGAGUUUGAGGCCAGCCUGAUCUACAAAAUGAGUUUCAGGCUAGUCAAGGCUACAUAGAGACCCUAUCCCUAGAAGCAAAACAGAAUCCUACUGUUAAGUUUCUACUUAAAAAAAAAAAUUAUGUGUUUGUAUGAAUAGUGGAGGCCAGACGAGGGUACUGUAUCCCUGAUGCUGAAGGUACAUACAUUUGUGAGCUGCCCAACAUGGGUGCUAGGAACUAAACAUGUCCCUCUGGAAGAUGAGCAAGUGUACAAACCUGCCCAGCCAGCCUGCCAGCUCCUUUCCCUUUCCCUUCCCUUUCAACAGCAUUUGUCUUCACGCUUAUGUAUGUGUGCGCGCAUUCUUGAGUGUGUGUAUGUGUAUCAAGUGAGUUCCCGAUGCUGUCAGAGGCCAGAGUCACUGCGUCCCCUGGUAUUGGUGUCACAGGGGCUGUGCUCUCCUGAUGGAGGUGCGGGAAUUAAACCUGGGUCCUUUCAAGAACAGUAAGUAGUCAAUUGCUGAGCCAUUCUUACACUUUUUAUAAGGUGAAGUAAGUGUGUGUGUGUGUGUGUGUGUGUGUGUGUGUGUGUGUGUGUGUGAUCAGUUUCCAUUGCUGAGGACUAGCUAGGAUACUCAGAUUCCUACAGAGUCUUUCUCGAUUUGCAUUUAGUUUAUAAAAUUCAAGAUACCUGACUCAUGGAUGUACAGGUGACGAGAUGUGUUGAUCAGAAGAAGGAAUUGAACAAAAUUAGUGUGACUUGAGGAACUUAAAAAGUUGAGAGGAAGACAGAAGGGAGCUCUGAGCAGAGUACCUCAUUAUAAGGUAAACAUGGGGUCUGAGGGAGUGCAGGGUCUUUUAGAUGGGUGUGUUUGUCUGUAUGUGUAUGUGUGUCUGUCUGUGUGUACAUCUUCAUGGGCACAUAUACAUGUGUGCAAUGUGUGUAUGUGUGUUGGUACGCAUGCAUGUGCAGGCCAGAGUGUCUUCCUCCAUUUUUCUCCACCUUAGUUCAUUUAGACUAAGGUUUAUUUAUUAGAUUUAGUCAUUAGGGCCUUUCACUAAACCUGGAGCUCAUCACCUGGCUCCCAGUCCUCCUGCCUCUGCCUCCCUGGUGUUGGGAUUACAGCUCAUGCUGUCACCUCCAGCUUUCUGGUGGGUGUCUGGGUGUUGGUGAUAGGAGUGCAGUCCCUCGAGCUUGCAGAGUAAGCAGCUAGCCACCUCAGCAGAGUCAUUUCUCCAGUCCUGCACUUAGGCCCUUACAAUGGCCCUUCUGUAUCCAGAAGCCAACACGGAGGAGCCUCCUGUGGAAGUUAAAGAAGAGGCUCCCAUCAGUGUGGGCAUGCUGAAUGGAGGCCAGCGGAUUGACUACGUGCUACAAGAGAAGCCCAUUGAGAGUUUCAAUGAAUAUUUAUUUGCUUUACAAAGCCAUCUAUGCUACUGGGAAUCUGAAGAUACAGUAUUGCUGGUUCUCAAAGAGAUCUACCAAACCCAGGGUGUCUUCCUUGAUCAGCCUUUACAGUAAACAUGACCCAUCUGUGGCUGCUUAAUAUGGACACUGAGGGAGACUGUCCUGAAAACCCACACGCUUGCUGCUGCAGCUUCCUUCUCAGCUACCUUGUGUCCUGCAUGCUGCCUGCCUUACUCCAUGGGAUCUUCCCAAGAGAACCCUCUUUGGAGACUACUGGAAAGCGGAGGGGCACUCACUGUUCUGUAUGGACGCUCAGCAGGUUUUGUGGCUAGGGCGUUUACAUAUCCCAAUGCUUUAACAGCAGCACUUCCUUGUUUCUUACAUGGGAAUGAAUAUCUGUUUAGGGGGCUUGGGGGGGGUUACUCCUUAUCCUUACCAACACUACGGGUGGGAGUAUAAGAUGUAGAGGUACUUAGGGGUCCCGUCCCUCUGUGUGUUCUCUGUGCUGGAGGGCUGAGCAUCACUGCAUUUGGGAGAGCUGCUGGCUUUUGAGCCAGCUUUUCUUUCCUGGAUUAUAUGAAGAUCAGACAGAAGCUUACUAAUAGCACAGUUUGCUCUGAACACUGUUACGUGAGUGGAUUGUAGAACCACUGGUGCUGGUCCUGGUCCUGGUCCUUACAACUGCUUCAGCUUCUGCAACCCUGAAGGUUGUAUUAACUGUGUGCCUGCUCUUUUACACCGUAUUCCAAGCCAGCGGUGAAGUUGAGGACAUUACUAGGUAAUACUUAUUUUGAAGGUCAACCUGAAAUUACAUGGCCCUUCCCUGCUGUUCAUGUUGUAAAUGCAGUCUUUUAGUAGCACCGAUUUAAGUCACCUGCUCCUUCCACUUGAGUAAAGGAAGUAUGUGACAUAAAUGUCACAUUUUUUUUUUUUUUUUUUUUUGACACAGGGUUUCUCUGUGUAGCCCUGGUUGUCCUGGAACUCACUCUGUAGACCAGGCUGGCCUCAGAAAUCCGCCUGCCUCUGCCUCUGCCUCCCGAGUGCUGGGAUCAAAGGCGUGCGCCACCACGCCCGGCUGCGUCACUGCUUUCUGAGGUACCAUCAAAUUGUUUAUUACAGUUGGCAGUCAUGGAUUUGAGCAUGCAAGCUAGGCUACCUUCUGAAGGAAAACCCUGUCUACAGGGUCUGAGGAGCUGAAUCUGGAUAACUCAAGGCACAUUGAUCGUGAGGAAGGGUGACUGUACACUAAGUGUUCCCUUCCUUAGCAUGUGCCGUCAUCUUUGUCCUCCUCACGAUUGCCCUUUAGCUCCUCUGAUUUCCACAGGUCUCUAUAGAGUGGCAGGAGAGGUGAGCUGUGUUUUGGUUUUUUUCCUUGUUUUGUAAACCUAUCAUGGUAUCCAGAGGCACUGCACAUAACAUGCCCUGAAACCCUCAGAUGGCAGUGCCCUCUACAGACAGGCAAAGGGAGGGAAGCACUGUGCCCUGGACGUUAGAGAGGCAAGCAUGGUACGUCAGGCCCAGCCUGCCUUCCUGCUCAUGGGUAAUACUGGAUGAGCAAGCUACUAAGGAGUUCCAGGUAUAUGGAAUACUUUAUUUUUUCUACAAUAUGUCUUGAGUAAGAAUACCUGAGAAUUAAGUAGUAUAUUCAUUAAAUACUAAAAAGUAAGUUUUGUCAAUUGCUGUCUUGAGGUUUGUUUACUCUUGUUAGCAGAGUCAUUACUACUUAAGAGUAAACCAAAGUACAACCAAGAGUGCGUUCUUGUGACCAAAGAUGGGCAGCUUGGCCCUGGAGAGCUAGAUAAACCCCUGCACUGAGAAAGGCUUCUUCCCGCAGUCCGGUACUUACACGUGACCACGCUGAGUGUUAUACAAGGCAGUGUGGUGGCAAGGGACCUGGGUGUGGACCUGCACUGCGUCGUCUGUUAUCAUGCACAAUCUCCUGACCAAGGCUGUUUCUAAACUCCAGGGUGACAGCAUUCUGUCUGUGAUUCUGUCUGUGAUUCUGGCAGCACAGUUGGUGGGAGACUGUCUGCAAGGGACGAUGAGUAGCUCUGAUAACCUUGCUGAUAUUUUGCACUUUUGAAAUGUUUGUUUUAUAUGUGAUUAUAUUUAAGACGUUAGUAAAUGCCGAAAUAAAACUAUUGACCAUUUGCCUACA
Mus musculus (house mouse) is the source of this 6284-nucleotide RNA transcript. It is a transcript of the gene named DDHD domain containing 2, with no coding region annotated. NCBI's taxonomy places the organism in Eukaryota, Metazoa, Chordata, Mammalia, Rodentia, Muridae. The transcript has 16 exons. The record is from RefSeq and is marked validated.